This 1048-nucleotide ribosomal RNA is filed under the name uncultured bacterium. RNAcentral's name for it is "bacterial SSU rRNA". It matches the Rfam family "Bacterial small subunit ribosomal RNA", at positions 56 to 1104 of the family's 1533-position model. The record is from RNAcentral.
UGCAGUCGACGGGCCCCGAAUUUCGGUUUGGUGGUUAGUGGCGAACGGGUGAGUAACGCGUGAGGAACCUAACCCACAGAGGGGGAUAACACCUGGAAACGGGUGCUAAUACCGCAUAAGACCACAAUGUCGCAUGGCAAAGGGGUCAAAGGAGCAAUCCGCUGAGGGAUGGACUCGCGUCCCAUUAGAUAGUUGGUGAGGUAACGGCCCACCAAGUCAACGAUGGGUAGCCGAGCUGAGAGGCUGAUCGGCCACACUGGAACUGAGACACGGUCCAGACUCCUACGGGAGGCAGCAGUAGGGAAUAUUGGGCAAUGGGGGAAACCCUGACCCAGCAACGCCGCGUGAGGGAAGAAGGUUUUCGGAUUGUAAACCUCUGUCCUAUGUGACGAAGAAAGUGACGGUAGCAUAGGAGGAAGCCCCGGCUAACUACGUGCCAGCAGCCGCGGUAAUACGUAGGGGGCGAGCGUUGUCCGGAAUUACUGGGCGUAAAGGGUGCGUAGGCGGCCGAUUAAGUUGGAUGUGAAAUACCCGUGCUCAACAUGGGGGGUGCAUUCAAAACUGGUUGGCUAGAGUACAGGAGAGGGAAGCGGAAUUCCUAGUGUAGCGGUGAAAUGCGUAGAUAUUAGGAGGAACACCAGUGGCGAAGGCGGCUUUCUGGACUGACACUGACGCUGAGGCACGAAAGCGUGGGGAGCAAACAGGAUUAGAUACCCUGGUAGUCCACGCUGUAAACGAUGAAUACUAGGUGUAGGGGGUAUGAACUCCCUCUGUGCCGCAGCAAACGCAAUAAGUAUUCCGCCUGGGGAGUACGGCCGCUAGGUUGAAACUCAAAGGAAUUGACGGGGGCCCGCACAAGCAGCGGAGCAUGUGGUUUAAUUCGAAGCAACGCGAAAGAACCUUACCAAGGCUUGACAUCCAACUAAACUCAUGGAAAACAUGAGGUGUCUUUCGGGCAAGUUUAAGACCGGGUGGUUGCAUGGGUUGUCGUUCAGCUCCGUGUCCGUGAAAUGUUUGGGUUUAAGUCCCCGCAACCGAGGCGCAACCC